UACAGAGGGUGCAAGCGUUGCUCGGAAUUAUUGGGCGUAAAGGGUAGGUAGGUGGUCUCAUUUGUCGGGGGUGAAAUCCUUGGGCUUAACCCAAGAAGUGCCUUCGAAACGGUGAGACUGGAGUCCUGGAGAGGGUCGUGGAAUUCCCGGUGUAGCGGUGAAAUGCGUAGAGAUCGGGAGGAACACCAGAGGCGAAGGCGGCGACCUGGACAGGUACUGACACUCAACUACGAAAGCGUGGGGAGCAAACAGG
Molecule: ribosomal RNA, 253 nt
Filed under: uncultured bacterium
Lineage: Bacteria
Description: partial 16S ribosomal RNA
Rfam family: Bacterial small subunit ribosomal RNA
Source: RNAcentral